This 393-nucleotide ribosomal RNA is filed under the name uncultured bacterium. RNAcentral's name for it is "partial 16S ribosomal RNA". It matches the Rfam family "Bacterial small subunit ribosomal RNA", at positions 523 to 918 of the family's 1533-position model. The record is from RNAcentral.
AUACGGAGGAUGCAAGCGUUAUCCGGAUUUAUUGGGUUUAAAGGGUGCGUAGGCGGGACUGUAAGUCAGGGGUGAAAUACUGCAGCUUAACUGUAGCAUUGCCUUUGAAACUGCCGUUCUUGAGUACAGUUGAGGGAGGCGGAAUGUGGUGUGUAGCGGUGAAAUGCAUAGAUAUACCACAGAACACCAAUCGCGAAGGCAGCAUACGAGGCAUCAUCUGACGCUGAUGCACGAAAGCGUGGGGAUCAAACAGGAUUAGAUACCCUGGUAGUCCACGCUGUAAACUAUGAUAACUAUCUUUUAGCGAUACACAGUUAGAGGGUACGAGAAAUCAUUAAGUUAUCCACCUGGGGAUUACGUUCGCAAGAUUGAAACUCAAAUGAAUUGACGGGG